This 210-nucleotide ribosomal RNA is filed under the name Triticum aestivum (bread wheat). RNAcentral describes it as "partial small subunit ribosomal RNA". Lineage: Eukaryota; Viridiplantae; Streptophyta; Magnoliopsida; Poales; Poaceae. The record is from RNAcentral.
GUGAUCAAACUCGAUUUUCGUAAGGCUUUCGACUCUGUCUGUUGGACCUUGCUUCUGCACACUCUGAAGAUUAGGGGUUUCCCCGAUCGCUGGUGUGAUUGGAUCGAAGCUCUCCUUGCUACUGGAUCCACUCCUGUUAUGUUCAACGGAGUUCCUGGUAGGUGGAUCCAAUGCAAGAAUGGCCUUCUCCAAGGUGACACGCUUUCCCCC